UUCGCAAUGCCCGAAAGGGUGACGAAGCGACGCCGCGUGGGUGAGGAAGGCCUUCGGGUUGUAAAACCCUGUCAGGAGUUAAGAAAUGUAAGUUCGUUAAUACCGUACUUAUUUGACAAGGGCUCCAAAGGAAGCCACGGCUAACUCUGUGCCAGCAGCCGCGGUAAUACAGAGGUGGCGAGCGUUGCUCGGAAUUAUUGGGCGUAAAGAGCACGUAGGUGGGUUUGCAAGUCAGAUGUGAAAGCCUUCUGUUCAACGGAAGAAUUGCAUCUGAAACUGCUAAUCUUGAGUAUAGGAGGGGAGAAUGGAACUUCUGGUGGAGCGGUGAAAUGCGUAGAUAUCAGAAGGAACGCCGGCGGCGAAAGCGAUUCUCUGGCCUAUUACUGACACUCAGUGUGCGAAAGCUAGGGGAGCAAACGGGAUUAGAUACCCCGGUAGUCCUAGCCGUAAACGAUGGGCACUAAGUAGAGGGGUUUU
This 477-nucleotide ribosomal RNA is filed under the name Candidatus Scalindua marina (nom. nud.). Its description in RNAcentral is "bacterial SSU rRNA". It matches the Rfam family "Bacterial small subunit ribosomal RNA", at positions 365 to 832 of the family's 1533-position model. The record is from RNAcentral. Lineage: Bacteria; Pseudomonadati; Planctomycetota; Candidatus Brocadiia; Candidatus Brocadiales; Candidatus Scalinduaceae.